GGUUACUCUUUUUUUAGA
This 18-nucleotide transfer RNA is filed under the name Pulex irritans. RNAcentral describes it as "partial tRNA-Leu". Lineage: Eukaryota; Metazoa; Arthropoda; Insecta; Siphonaptera; Pulicidae. The record is from RNAcentral.